This 460-nucleotide ribosomal RNA is filed under the name uncultured bacterium. Its description in RNAcentral is "partial 16S ribosomal RNA". It matches the Rfam family "Bacterial small subunit ribosomal RNA", at positions 338 to 795 of the family's 1533-position model. The record is from RNAcentral.
CCUACGGGAGGCUGCAGUGAGGAAUAUUGGUCAAUGGCCGGAAGGCUGAACCAGCCAAGUCGCGUGAGGGAAUAAGGCCCUAUGGGUCGUAAACCUCUUUUGUCAGGGAGCAAAGGCGUCCACGAGUGGACGAAAGGAGAGUACCCGGAGAAAAAGCAUCGGCUAACUCCGUGCCAGCAGCCGCGGUAAUACGGAGGAUGCGAGCGUUAUCCGGAUUUAUUGGGUUUAAAGGGUGCGCAGGCGGGCUGUUAAGCCGGCGGUAAAAAUUCAGGGCUCAACCCUGUCGAGCCGUCGGAACUGGCAGUCUUGAGUGGGCGAGAAGUAUGCGGAAUGCGUGGUGUAGCGGUGAAAUGCAUAGAUAUCACGCAGAACGCCGAUUGCGAAGGCAGCAUACCGGCGCCCAACUGACGCUGAGGCACGAAAGCGUGGGGAUCGAACAGGAUUAGAUACCCGAGUAGUC